This 429-nucleotide ribosomal RNA is filed under the name uncultured bacterium. RNAcentral's name for it is "bacterial SSU rRNA". It matches the Rfam family "Bacterial small subunit ribosomal RNA", at positions 28 to 440 of the family's 1533-position model. The record is from RNAcentral.
GACGAACGCUGGCGGCGUGCCUCAGACAUGCAAGUCGAACGCGAAAGGCUCCUUCGGGGGCCGAGUAGAGUGGCGCACGGGUGAGUAACACGUGGGUAAUUUGCCUUUGGGUGGGGAAUAACUCAGGGAAACUUGAGCUAAUACCGCAUAAUGCAGCGGCUCGACAUCGAGACAGUUGUUAAAGCGGGGGAUCGCAAGACCUCGCGCCUGAAGAGAAGCCUGCGGCAGAUUAGCUAGUUGGUAGGGUAAUGGCCUACCAAGGCGACGAUCUGUAACCGGCCUGAGAGGGCGGUCGGUCACACUGACACUGACAUACGGGUCAGACUCCUACGGGAGGCAGCAGUCGGGAAUUUUGGGCAAUGGGCGCAAGCCUGACCCAGCAACGCCGCGUGAAGGAUGAAAUCCCUCGGGAUGUAAACUUCGCAAGAA